This 89-nucleotide non-coding RNA is filed under the name Candidatus Dadabacteria. RNAcentral describes it as "c-di-GMP sequence". It matches the Rfam family "c-di-GMP-I riboswitch aptamer". Rfam says of the family: GEMM was predicted in a large-scale screen for bacterial structured RNA regulatory elements. Genes associated with GEMM are involved in a diverse array of functions, including chemotaxis regulation, signal transduction, secretion and chitin. The record is from RNAcentral. Lineage: Bacteria; Pseudomonadati; Thermodesulfobacteriota.
CAUCCGAAAAGGCAAACCAUCUGAAAAGGUGGGACGCAAAACCCAAGACCUAAGGGCUUGAAAGAGCCUAAGGUAGACUGGUUACCGAA